AAGCAGUACAGUUCUUUUAGAAUUUGUCUCACAGAUUUUCCGGUCCUUACUGGAAGACUCCU
Vulpes vulpes (red fox) is the source of this 62-nucleotide small nuclear RNA. Its record names the gene U7. It matches the Rfam family "U7 small nuclear RNA". Rfam says of the family: Animal histone pre-mRNAs are spliced by a different mechanism than nuclear pre-mRNAs and self-splicing introns. This processing involves the U7 snRNP, which contains only one RNA species: U7. The record is from Ensembl. Lineage: Eukaryota; Metazoa; Chordata; Mammalia; Carnivora; Canidae.